AUCCAGCUGAUGAGUCCCAAAUAGGACGAAACGCGUGUCCUGGGU
This 45-nucleotide non-coding RNA is filed under the name Schistosoma mansoni. Lineage: Eukaryota; Metazoa; Platyhelminthes; Trematoda; Strigeidida; Schistosomatidae. The record is from RNAcentral.